UUAGAUAUAAGUGUUGGAAUCUAGGUAUGGUGUUGAUCCUUUGAAUAACAUCAUUGCUAGAGUGCCUAAUGGUGAUCAUCAGUCUUUUGUUUGGAAAGCUAUUGCUACUAUGAGAUCUUUUGUUAUCAGGCAUUCAAUGUAGUCGGUACGAAAAUGGGAUCCAAAUGGGCAAUCGAGAUCCCAUUUAAGUUACUCUACCCAGAUCUCUUUCUUAGAUCUGAUGUGCUCAGCCUAUGGCAAAGGUGAGUGGGGUGGGAUCAAUCAGCGGGCAGUCGAUUGUAUGGAAUGGUGAGUACAUUUAUAGCUGUUUACCCCACUUUGAAGUGGAAUAAUAUUUGGAGUUGUUUUUGGCUUAUUUUUGGUGAAAUUUGCAUACCAUAUUCUAUUUCAUGAUCGGGCCUGUUGGAAUAUGC
RNAcentral lists this long non-coding RNA (413 nucleotides) under Amborella trichopoda. RNAcentral's name for it is "long non-coding RNA (ATRI_LNC003640)". Lineage: Eukaryota; Viridiplantae; Streptophyta; Magnoliopsida; Amborellales; Amborellaceae. The record is from RNAcentral.